Molecule: long non-coding RNA, 221 nt
Filed under: Elaeis guineensis (African oil palm)
Lineage: Eukaryota; Viridiplantae; Streptophyta; Magnoliopsida; Arecales; Arecaceae
Description: long non-coding RNA (EGUI_LNC051306)
Source: RNAcentral
AAGAAGUAAAAUCCAUAAGUUAUUCCAUAUAGAAAUCUUUCCUCAGAAAAGUUAUUUUACAUCCUUUCUUAGAGUCGAUGUCUCAUAUCAUCUCGUUGUAGGUUCUGGGAUCAUCUCUAUGUUCUCUAUCUCCCAUAAGAAAUUAUUUUCUCUACAUCCUCUGUUAAGCAUACUCAAGUAUCUUUUGAGAGGAUUGAAGAUCCUACUUUGUGUAUGAGGUG